This 325-nucleotide long non-coding RNA is filed under the name Panax ginseng (ginseng). RNAcentral's name for it is "long non-coding RNA (PGIN_LNC002505)". Lineage: Eukaryota; Viridiplantae; Streptophyta; Magnoliopsida; Apiales; Araliaceae. The record is from RNAcentral.
AUUGUUUAAAAUAGAAUAAUUGUGUCAUAAAAAGAAGUUAAUUUUCAAUAAAGGGUAAAAUUGUCAUUUUAAAGGGAGGUAGUAAUAACAACUAAUAAGUACGGUUACUUAAUAUGUAGGAGUAUUAGAGAUUAAACUUAUCAAGUACUUAUGCAAUAGCUCAACUUUAAUUUAAAAGGAUAUUACACACUACAAAAUUUGGACCCAAUUUUCAUACUAUCAUAAUCAAAAUAAUAAUUUGUAACCAAACAUUACCAUAAUCGGGAAACUUACAACUGGAACACAAAACUCAACACAGAUUUGAUACAGAACAGCUUAAAAACGG